RNAcentral lists this ribosomal RNA (253 nucleotides) under uncultured bacterium. RNAcentral's name for it is "partial 16S ribosomal RNA". It matches the Rfam family "Bacterial small subunit ribosomal RNA", at positions 524 to 776 of the family's 1533-position model. The record is from RNAcentral.
GACAGAGGGGGCAAGCGUUGCUCGGAAUUACUGGGCGUAAAGCGUGCGUAGGUGGUGAGUUAAGUCUGUCGUGAAAGCCCCGGGCUCAACCUGGGAAUGGCGAUGGAUACUGGCUCGCUAGAGUGCGGUAGAGGAGAGUGGAAUUCCCGGUGUAGCAGUGAAAUGCGUAGAGAUCGGGAGGAACAUCAGUUGCGAAGGCGGCUCUCUGGACCAGCACUGACACUGAGGCACGAAAGCGUGGGGAGCAAACAGG